This 429-nucleotide ribosomal RNA is filed under the name Gemmatimonadota bacterium. RNAcentral's name for it is "Gemmatimonadetes bacterium partial 16S ribosomal RNA". It matches the Rfam family "Bacterial small subunit ribosomal RNA", at positions 355 to 776 of the family's 1533-position model. The record is from RNAcentral. Lineage: Bacteria; Pseudomonadati; Gemmatimonadota.
UAGGGAAUCUUCGGCAAUGGACGAAAGUCUGACCGAGCAACGCUGCGUGAGUGAAGAAGGUUUUCGGAUCGUAAAACUCUGUUGUUAGAGAAGAACAAGGACGUUAGUAACUGAACGUCCCCUGACGGUAUCUAACCAGAAAGCCACGGCUAACUACGUGCCAGCAGCCGCGGUAAUACGUAGGUGGCAAGCGUUGUCCGGAUUUAUUGGGCGUAAGGCGAGCGCAGGCGGUUUCUUAAGUCUGAUGUGAAAGCCCCCGGCUCAACCGGGGAGGGUCAUUGAAAACUGGGAGACUUGAGUGCAGAAGAGGAGAGUGGAAUUCCAUGUGUAGCGGUGAAAUGCGUAGAUAUAUGGAGGAACACCAGUGGCGAAGGCGGCUCUCUGGUCUGUAACUGACGCUGAGGCUCGAAAGCGUGGGGAGCAAACAGG